This 480-nucleotide ribosomal RNA is filed under the name uncultured bacterium. RNAcentral describes it as "bacterial SSU rRNA". It matches the Rfam family "Bacterial small subunit ribosomal RNA", at positions 501 to 984 of the family's 1533-position model. The record is from RNAcentral.
CUACGUGCCAGCAGCCGCGGUAAUACGGAAGGUCCAGGCGUUAUCCGGAUUUAUUGGGUUUAAAGGGAGCGUAGGCUGGAGAUUAAGUGUGUUGUGAAAUGUAGACGCUCAACGUCUGAAUUGCAGCGCAUACUGGUUUCCUUGAGUACGCACAACGUUGGCGGAAUUCGUCGUGUAGCGGUGAAAUGCUUAGAUAUGACGAAGAACUCCGAUUGCGAAGGCAGCUGACGGGAGCGCAACUGACGCUUAAGCUCGAAGGUGCGGGUAUCGAACAGGAUUAGAUACCCUGGUAGUCCGCACGGUAAACGAUGGAUGCCCGCUGUUGGUACCUGGUAUCAGCGGCUAAGCGAAAGCAUUAAGCAUCCCACCUGGGGAGUACGCCGGCAACGGUGAAACUCAAAGGAAUUGACGGGGGCCCGCACAAGCGGAGGAACAUGUGGUUUAAUUCGAUGAUACGCGAGGAACCUUACCCGGGCUUGA